GAUGAACGCUGGCGGCGUGCCUAAUACAUGCAAGUCGAGCGAACAGAUGAGGAGCUUGCUCCUCUGACGUUAGCGGCGGACGGGUGAGUAACACGUGGAUAACCUACCUAUAAGACUGGGAUAACUUCGGGAAACCGGAGCUAAUACCGGAUAAUAUAUUGAACCGCAUGGUUCAAUAGUGAAAGACGGUUUUGCUGUCACUUAUAGAUGGAUCCGCGCCGCAUUAGCUAGUUGGUAAGGUAACGGCUUACCAAGGCAACGAUGCGUAGCCGACCUGAGAGGGUGAUCGGCCACACUGGAACUGAGACACGGUCCAGACUCCUACGGGAGGCAGCAGUAGGGAAUCUUCCGCAAUGGGCGAAAGCCUGACGGAGCAACGCCGCGUGAGUGAUGAAGGUCUUCGGAUCGUAAAACUCUGUUAUUAGGGAAGAACAAAUGUGUAAGUAACUAUGCACGUCUUGACGGUACCUAAUCAGAAAGCCACGGCUAACUACGAG
Molecule: ribosomal RNA, 497 nt
Filed under: uncultured bacterium
Lineage: Bacteria
Description: partial 16S ribosomal RNA
Rfam family: Bacterial small subunit ribosomal RNA
Source: RNAcentral